GGGUUGUGAGGUUAAGCGAAUAAGCGUACACGGUGGAUGCCUAGGCAAUCAGAGGCGAUGAAGGACGUGCUAAUCUGCGAUAAGCGUCGGUAAGGUGAUAUGAACCGUUAUACCCGACGAUUUCCGAAUGGGGAAACCCAAUAUCCAAUGGAUAUUAUCAUUAACUGAAUACAUAGGUUAAUGAAGCGAACCGGGAGAACUGAAACAUCUCAGUACCCCGAGGAAAAGAAAUCAACCGAGAUUCCCCUAGUAGCGGCGAGCGAACGGGGAACAGCCCAGAGUCUUAAUCAACAGCAGCAUCAGGAGAACGGUCUGGAAAGUCCGGCAGUAAAGGGUGAUAGCCCCGUAUCCGAAGAUGUUGUUAUUGUGAACUCGACGAGUAGGGCGGGACACGUGUUAUCCUGUCUGAAUAUGGGGGGACCAUCCUCCAAGGCUAAAUACUCCUGAUUGACCGAUAGUGAACCAGUACCGUGAGGGAAAGGCGAAAAGAACCCCGGCGAGGGGAGUGAAAAAGAACCUGAAACCGUGUACGUACAAGCAGUAGGAGCCCCA
This 552-nucleotide ribosomal RNA is filed under the name Proteus mirabilis. Its description in RNAcentral is "partial 23S ribosomal RNA". It matches the Rfam family "Bacterial large subunit ribosomal RNA", at positions 1 to 584 of the family's 2925-position model. Lineage: Bacteria; Pseudomonadati; Pseudomonadota; Gammaproteobacteria; Enterobacterales; Morganellaceae. The record is from RNAcentral.